This is a non-coding RNA of Oryctolagus cuniculus (rabbit), 4061 nucleotides long. Lineage: Eukaryota; Metazoa; Chordata; Mammalia; Lagomorpha; Leporidae. The record is from RefSeq and is a predicted model, not a curated record.
CAGGUGCUUCUUCCUGGUCUCCCGCGUGGGUGCAGGUGCCCAAGCACUUGGGCCAUCCUCCACUGUACUCCCGGGCCACAGCAGAGAGCUGGACUGGAAGAGGAGCGACCGGGACUAGAACCCAGCACCCAUAUGGGAUGCCGGCGCCACAGGCGGAGGAUUAACCAAGUGAGCUAUGGCGCCGGCCCCACAACGGGAACAUUUUCACUUCCAUCAUUCUCAUUUCUACUUUUCAGCUCUCACACAGCCAGUAAAACCCCUGAAAAUCAGUCUCCAAGAAUCAGAGAGUGGAGGUGUUCCCCACUUCCAGAACCAUUUUGCAGUUCUUUGUAUUAUUGCUCAGCUCCUGUCACUAAAAUAGAGGGUGGGUACAUUCUAGAAUAGAGAUUGCAUGCCUCGAAAACUCACAAACCUUCAAACUAAUUUCCCAUAGAUACCUACGUCUUGACAUGACCUGGUUGAGCUUAGCUGGGGGAAAGAGUUGCAAAAAAAUAUUUGAGUAUAUGGACUUUUUUUUUCUUUAGUAGGAAAAUAUAACCAGCUCAGCUGAUCUGCAGCUGUACCUGACCUGCGGAAUCUCUUGCUUUAUAAGAUCCUCUUACAUGUAAAAGACAAGCAGUGCAUUGUACGGUUUGCAUUGAAACGUGAUCAUCAGGAAAAAGAGAUUCUUUAAAAUAUAAAGCUCAGAUCAGGAAUACAUUGUAUAUGCAAAUAAGCUGAUUUAGAUGCAGAGGAUGAAUUCUAACAGUGGGACAACUAAAGAAAUUAAGGCUUAUGCUUUUCCUGAGUGCCCAGUAAUUCUGAAUUACAAUUGAGUACCUAUAGAAAGAAGUGUGACAUCCAAAUGGGUACAAAUGGAUAGAUUACGCUCCGUGAUGCUUCACUGCACUCUAAAUGAGUUCAGCAGGAUGACACACCGAGAGAUGCUGAAGUGCCUCAGAGACACGCAGUCAGAGGCGUGUGCUUAAAUAAAACUCCCUGCAAUCUUCUGCACAUAAAGUGGGUUUUUCCUAUUCAGUAGGAAAGUAGAGCAAUGUGUUUUGUCCUUAUAUAGUCUCAUUGCAAAAUAAGAGUUUAUUAAACUUGCUUUGGUUUUUAGAGAAACUCUUGCAAUUUGAAAGUUACCUUGUAAUGCUUUUGGACUCUACUUCGCCAAGCUUGCCAUCUUGGUGAGCCCUAGAGCAUUUCUCUGUUUACUAUGAGAAGCAGUAGUGACCUAUACGAGGAACUCAGGGUGCCAUACUCUGGGCUAGCAAUGGGCUUUCCAGGAAACUGGAGAUUUGGUGUGUUCUGAUUAGCAUCUAAUUUAUUCCUAACAUCUAAUCAGAUAUUCUGGCUGAUAUUUUCCUCUCCGUAUUUAUAUAAGAAAUAUUGAAUGUUAUAUAGUUAUACUACAAUAAAAUACACUCAUGUUCAAAGAUCCCACUCCUUUUGGACAAGUCUGAGUUCAAAUUAUGAGCAAAUUAAAGAAUAAACUGAAAAAAUAGGCCCUCUGAGGAUAAUUUCCCUAGGGUAGAAGUUACUGUCUUCUCACUGUAGCUUGAAAGAGCAGACGCCUGAGCCAAGGGCUCCUGGUGAGUCACAACCCGACCUCUGCAGCUAUAAAAGAUGUGAUAGAGCAGAGAGGCCUGGAAAGGGAGCUGAUUCCUGAGGUCGGGUAAUGGGCUCUCGAGGCACGUUCAUGUCUGUAUUUUCAUUAAGGAAUCAAAUCCAAUACAUUCAUAAAACACUAAUUACGAUUGUGGAAAUCAUUUGCUACGAAGCUUUGAUGAAGUCACAACCUCUCUAAACCUCAGUUGUUGAGCUCUAAGAUGGGUUUAGGGCAAUUGAAGAUUUAGUAAAACACUUAACAAAGUAGGUGGUACAAAAGUUACUUCGCCAGUUAAUGGUUGUUGUUAUUCGUCACCUGGGAUUCCCGAGGGCCCAGCGCUCCCAGACCCAGCUCUCUAGACUUACUCCACAUCAGAUGCCUUAAAUUGUGGCUCCUCCAUGCUUCCCUACCACUCGCUUAUCCUAUAUCCUCAACACAUCAGCCUGCUGCUGUCCCCCUUCCUUCCAUGAUCAAAUCCUCUGCCCCAGGAUCUCUCUGCUCACUGCUCUCUUUUUCUCUGUUAUUUGAGAGACAUAGAGAGGGAGAGAGAGAAAUGAACAGAGCUCCCAUAACUCUGCAAAUGCUUGCAAGGGCCAGGGCUGAGCCAGGUGAAAACCUGGCGCCAGGAACUCUAAAUCUAAUCUACCUACCAUGUGGGUGGUAGAGACCCAGUCCACUUGAGCCUUGACCAUUUCUGCCUCCCAAAGUCUUCCUUAGUCGGAAGCUAGGGUUGGGAGUGGAGCCAGGAGUGAGACCUGGCUACUCCAGUAUGGGAUACAGGCAUCUUAACUGCAUGACAAACACCUGAGCCUCACUUGUUCUUGAUCUUCAAGUGGGUGACCAUUUAUACACUUUGCUCUUAAAUACCUCCUCCUUUUACGCCUUUCCUAACUGAUUAUGAAAUUACAUGAACAUUUUCUAUCAAAUCUCCCUAUUUUAAUUGUCUUUUAACUGCUAUCAUAUCUCAUAUUUUCUUAUUUGUUGUAUUGAUUGAUUUUCUUCACCACUAGAGUGUAAACUCCAUGACAGCAGGCCUUGGUCAGUCUUUUUCACUUCUGUGUUUUUUCUGCCUGCUCUGGUGACUGGACAUGCUAGAUGUGCAGUAAAUAUUUAUUGGAUGAAUAGAUUUGUGAUGUAAGCUGGCCGUGGGUUACAUGUACAUUGUCUAAUUGUGAGAAAGUCCCCUCUGUGCAGGCAUCAAUCCCUUACCCAUUUAUAUUGUGGAUUUCAGAUUUCCAGGAUUUUAUGCGGAUCUUAUUCUCACAGUUGAAAGUUUACUUCCAAAAUUCUCUUUUCCUCCUCCUCUUCCUUCUUUUUCUUCUUUUUGCUUAGUGACUAUGACCAGAUUGACUUUAGAAUGUCAAGAGACCCAAUUUAAGUUUUCCCACUUAGUGUUACUAUAGAAUAUAGGCAGCUUGGGAUUCUAGUCAACAAGGAAUAAAUUUAAAAUACGACAUUUGUGACUUCAGGUUUCUGUGCAAGGAUCUUAACAAAAGUGUUCAACUAUAAAUUGCUUCAAGUCCACUGAAACAGGCAGCACCAUUUAAUAUACAGAGAAAAACCAUUUCAGCAGACCUCUGAUGACGACUACUCAGAGAAACUAGGCUCCUUACCAACUCACUGACUACAAUCUCUGACCGUGGUAGUAGGAAUCUGGUGAAAUUCCAAAACCAAAUAAGGAUUUACUUGCCUAGUGUUUUAUUUUCUACAUGUCAACUCUCGGCUUCUGAGAACUUCCAAUUUAGAUAAAGUCACAUUGAAUAUAAAUUAAGAAAUAUCCCAUGUUUGUCAGUGAGGAAAAGCAAUUUCUUUCCUACUCUUACCCUUGAGUAAAGUUGGGUCGUCUGCCCUGACAUGCCCUCUGUUUUCAGCCUCUCUAUAAUCCCUGAGGAGUUGACCUUCAGGGUUGACCUUCAGGGUCAAAGACUGUUCCUUUCCUCUUCUAUCCUCUUUCAUCGCUCUUGACAUUUAAAUCCUUCUGCCUUUGAUUGCGCUUCUACUGUGCAGUGUGGAGACACGGUAACUUUCAGAACUUUUAUGGAGCUGGAACGUUUCAGUGACGUCUUCCCUGAUGCCCCCCGCCCCCCCCCUUUUUUUUGUUCUGAUGUGAAACUGCUGAAAUCCAAGAGCAGAGAAGUUCCACUCUUUCCCAGAAGCGCUGUUUUGGGGCCCCUAAUUCUCCAGCCCCAUCAAUACAGGGCAGAGAUGCCGCUUUGCAUUCCUCAAACUUCACCUGCUGAAGGAAAAAAUUCUCACCAACUAGAGGAGCAGGAGGGUGAGGCAGAACCCUGAAAUCAACUCAAAUCAACUGAAAUCAAAUCAAAUUUCUACAGGGAUACAUAUGCAUAUUCAAGUAAAUGGAAGGUAUCAACUAUAAAUGUCCUCCUCAUGUCAGACUUUUGUAUUAUAUAUUUUUCUUAGUGACAAUCUGUCAGUUUGUGGAAAACUGAGUAUAAAGAGUUGUGAGCAA